GUACAAGCAGUGGGAGCACCCUUCGGGGUGUGACUGCGUACCUUUUGUAUAAUGGGUCAGCGACUUAUAUUCUGUAGCAAGGUUAACCGAAUAGGGGAGCCGGAGGGAAACCGAGUCUUAAUUGGGCGUUAAGUUGCAGGGUAUAGACCCGAAACCCGGUGAUCUAGCCAUGGGCAGGUUGAAGGUUGGGUAACACUAACUGGAGGACCGAACCGACUAAUGUUGAAAAAUUAGCGGAUGACCUGUGGCUGGGGGUGAAAGGCCAAUCAAACCGGGAGAUAGCUGGUUCUCCCCGAAAGCUAUUUAGGUAGCGCCUCGUGAAUUCAUCUCCGGGGGUAGAGCACUGUUUCGGCUAGGGGGCCAUCCCGGCUUACCAACCCGAUGCAAACUGCGAAUACCGGAGAAUGUUAUCACGGGAGACACACGGCGGGUGCUAACGUCCGUCGUGAAGAGGGAAACAACCCAGACCGCCAGCUAAGGUCCCAAAGUCAUGGUUAAGUGGGAAACGAUGUGGGAAGGCCCAGACAGCCAGGAUGUUGGCUUAGAAGCAGCCAUCAUUUAAAGAAAGCGUAAUAGCUCACUGGUCGAGUCGGCCUGCGCGGAAGAUGUAACGGGGCUAAACCAUGCACCGAAGCUGCGGCAGCGACACUGUGUGUUGUUGGGUAGGGGAGCGUUCUGUAAGCCUGUGAAGGUGUGUCGUGAGGCAUGCUGGAGGUAUCAGAAGUGCGAAUGCUGACAUAAGUAACGAUAAAGCGGGUGAAAAGCCCGCUCGCCGGAAGACCAAGGGUUCCUGUCCAACGUUAAUCGGGGCAGGGUGAGUCGACCCCUAAGGCGAGGCCGAAAGGCGUAGUCGAUGGGAAACGGGUUAAUAUUCCCGUACUUGGUGUUACUGCGAAGGGGGGACGGAGAAGGCUAUGUUGGCCGGGCGACGGUUGUCCCGGUUUAAGCGUGUAGGUGUGUGUUCCAGGUAAAUCCGGUUCACUUUAACACUGAGGCGUGACGACGAGGCACUACGGUGCUGAAGCAACAAAUGCCCUGCUUCCAGGAAAAGCCUCUAAGCAUCAGGUAACAUCAAAUCGUACCCCAAACCGACACAGGUGGUCAGGUAGAGAAUACCAAGGCGCUUGAGAGAACUCGGGUGAAGGAACUAGGCAAAAUGGUGCCGUAACUUCGGGAGAAGGCACGCUGACACGUAGGUGAAGUGAUUUACUCAUGGAGCUGAAGUCAGUCGAAGAUACCAGCUGGCUGCAACUGUUUAUUAAAAACACAGCACUGUGCAAACACGAAAGUGGACGUAUACGGUGUGACGCCUGCCCGGUGCCGGAAGGUUAAUUGAUGGGGUCAGCGCAAGCGAAGCUCCUGAUCGAAGCCCCGGUAAACGGCGGCCGUAACUAUAACGGUCCUAAGGUAGCGAAAUUCCUUGUCGGGUAAGUUCCGACCUGCACGAAUGGCGUAAUGAUGGCCAGGCUGUCUCCACCCGAGACUCAGUGAAAUUGAACUCGCUGUGAAGAUGCAGUGUACCCGCGGCAAGACGGAAAGACCCCGUGAACCUUUACUAUAGCUUGACACUGAACAUUGAGCCUUGAUGUGUAGGAUAGGUGGGAGGCUUUGAAGCGUGGACGCCAGUCUGCGUGGAGCCGACCUUGAAAUACCACCCUUUAAUGUUUGAUGUUCUAACGUGGACCCGU
This 1688-nucleotide ribosomal RNA is filed under the name Salmonella enterica subsp. enterica serovar Stanley. RNAcentral describes it as "partial 23S ribosomal RNA". It matches the Rfam family "Bacterial large subunit ribosomal RNA", at positions 564 to 2236 of the family's 2925-position model. The record is from RNAcentral. Lineage: Bacteria; Pseudomonadati; Pseudomonadota; Gammaproteobacteria; Enterobacterales; Enterobacteriaceae.